RNAcentral lists this microRNA precursor (52 nucleotides) under Loxodonta africana (African savanna elephant). RNAcentral's name for it is "mir-1302 microRNA precursor family". It matches the Rfam family "mir-1302 microRNA precursor family". Lineage: Eukaryota; Metazoa; Chordata; Mammalia; Proboscidea; Elephantidae. The record is from Rfam by way of RNAcentral.
UUUCUAGUGUAAGUAUGUCCUAUGCACUAUCUGGGAUAUACUUAUACUGAAA